GACGAACGCUGGCGGCGUGCCUAAUACAUGCAAGUUGAGCGCUGAAGGUUGGUACUUGUACCGACUGGAUGAGCAGCGAACGGGUGAGUAACGCGUGGGGAAUCUGCCUUUGAGCGGGGGACAACAUUUGGAAACGAAUGCUAAUACCGCAUAAAAUCUUUAAACACAAGUUUUAAGUUUGAAAGAUGCAAUUGCAUCACUCAAAGAUGAUCCCGCGUUGUAUUAGCUAGUUGGUGAGGUAAAGGCUCACCAAGGCGAUGAUACAUAGCCGACCUGAGAGGGUGAUCGGCCACAUUGGGACUGAGACACGGCCCAAACUCCUACGGGAGGCAGCAGUAGGGAAUCUUCGGCAAUGGACGAAAGUCUGACCGAGCAACGCCGCGUGAGUGAAGAAGGGUUUCGGAUCGUAAAACUCUGUUGGUAGAGAAGAACGUUGGUGAGAGUGGAAAGCUCAUCAAGUGACGGUAACUACCCAGAAAGGGACGGCUAACUACGUG
RNAcentral lists this ribosomal RNA (497 nucleotides) under uncultured bacterium. RNAcentral describes it as "partial 16S ribosomal RNA". It matches the Rfam family "Bacterial small subunit ribosomal RNA", at positions 28 to 507 of the family's 1533-position model. The record is from RNAcentral.